CCCUUAGAUGUUCUGGGCCGCACGCGCGCUACACUGACGAAUGCAACGAGCUUAUAACCUUGGCCGAAAGGUCUGGGUAAUCUCCAAAUUUCGUCGUGAUUGGGAUAGAUUAUUGCAAUUAUUAAUCUUCAACGAGGAAUGCCUAGUAAGCGCAAGUCAUCAGCUUGCGUUGAUUACGUCCCUGCCCUUUGUACACACCGCCCGUCGCUCCUACCGAUUGAAUGGUCCGGUGAAGCGUUCGGACCGUGGCCUUUGGACGGUUCGCCGUCUGUUGGCUGCGGGAAGUUCGUUAAACCUUAUCAUUUAGAGGAAGGAGAANUCGUAACA
Molecule: ribosomal RNA, 327 nt
Filed under: uncultured eukaryote
Lineage: Eukaryota
Description: partial 18S ribosomal RNA
Rfam family: Eukaryotic small subunit ribosomal RNA
Source: RNAcentral